UCCGAGUUGACCCCGGCAGUCUCCUGCGAGUCCCCGGCGUUAUCCGCUGGCAACACAGGACAAGGGUUGCGCUCGUUGCGGGACUUAACCCAACAUCUCACGACACGAGCUGACGACAGCCAUGCACCACCUGUGAAAGUGCCCCGAAGGGAGGCUGUGUUUCCACAGCUGUCACUCACAUGUCAAGCCCAGGUAAGGUUCUUCGCGUUGCGUCGAAUUAAGCCACAUGCUCCGCCGCUUGUGCGGGUCCCCGUCAAUUCCUUUGAGUUUUAAUCUUGCGACCGUACUCCCCAGGCGGGGCACUUAAUGCGUUAGCUGCGGCACCCAGGGGGUCAAUACCCCGGACACCUAGUGCCCAUCGUUUACAGCGUGGACUAC
Molecule: unclassified non-coding RNA, 378 nt
Filed under: uncultured Actinomycetes bacterium
Lineage: Bacteria; Bacillati; Actinomycetota; Actinomycetes
Description: uncultured actinobacterium contains 16S-23S intergenic spacer region
Source: RNAcentral